RNAcentral lists this ribosomal RNA (440 nucleotides) under uncultured bacterium. RNAcentral describes it as "partial 16S ribosomal RNA". It matches the Rfam family "Bacterial small subunit ribosomal RNA", at positions 338 to 795 of the family's 1533-position model. The record is from RNAcentral.
CCUACGGGAGGCAGCAGUGGGGGAUAUUGCACAAUGGGGGGAACCCUGAUGCAGCGACGCCGCGUGGGUGAAGAAGCGCCUCGGCGCGUAAAGCCCUGUCAGCAGGGAAGAAAAUGACGGUACCUGAAGAAGAAGCCCCGGCUAAAUACGUGCCAGCAGCCGCGGGAUUACGUAGGGGGCACGCGUGAGCCGGAUGUACUGGGUGUAGAGGGGGCGCAGACGGCGAUGCAGGCCAGGAGUGAAAGCCGGGGGCCCAACCCCGGGACGGCUUUUGGAACUGCGUGGCUGGAGGGCAGGAGGGGCAGGCGGAAUUCCUGGUGUAGCGGUGAAAUGCGUAGAUAUAAGGAGGAACACCGGUGGCGAAGGCGGCCUGCUGGACUGCAACUGACGUUGAGGCCCGAAAGCGUGGGGAGCAAACAGGAUUAGAUACCCUGGUAGUC